RNAcentral lists this ribosomal RNA (497 nucleotides) under uncultured bacterium. RNAcentral describes it as "partial 16S ribosomal RNA". It matches the Rfam family "Bacterial small subunit ribosomal RNA", at positions 28 to 507 of the family's 1533-position model. The record is from RNAcentral.
GAUGAACGCUGGCGGCGUGCCUAAUACAUGCAAGUCGAGCGAACAGACGAGGAGCUUGCUCCUCUGACGUUAGCGGCGGACGGGUGAGUAACACGUGGAUAACCUACCUAUAAGACUGGGAUAACUUCGGGAAACCGGAGCUAAUACCGGAUAAUAUAUUGAACCGCAUGGUUCAAUAGUGAAAGACGGUUUUGCUGUCACUUAUAGAUGGAUCCGCGCCGCAUUAGCUAGUUGGUAAGGUAACGGCUUACCAAGGCAACGAUGCGUAGCCGACCUGAGAGGGUGAUCGGCCACACUGGAACUGAGACACGGUCCAGACUCCUACGGGAGGCAGCAGUAGGGAAUCGUCCGCAAUGGGCGAAAGCUUGACGGAGCAACGCCGCGUGAGUGAUGAAGGUCUUCGGAUCGUAAAACGCUGUUAUUAGGGAAGAACAAAUGUGUAAGUAACUAUGCACGUCUUGACGGUACCGAAUCAGAAAGCCACGGCUAACUACGUG